Molecule: long non-coding RNA, 232 nt
Filed under: Phoenix dactylifera (date palm)
Lineage: Eukaryota; Viridiplantae; Streptophyta; Magnoliopsida; Arecales; Arecaceae
Description: long non-coding RNA (PDAC_LNC017236)
Source: RNAcentral
CUGAAUCGUGAAUGGCUGGGGGGCUCUGGGUUGCAGGCGCGGAAGCUUGAACGUUGGAGCUGGGACGCAUGGACUGUGAGGAAGACGCUGAAGGAAGCUUGGACUGCUGGCGCUUGGGAUUCGGAUGGCUGGAUCGAACGCAGGAGAUGGGGCAUGGACGAGUGCUGGAUCACACGCGGAGAAGACGAACACGGAUUCUUGGGGUCGCGAAUCCGGAAGAUGCGCGGAUGGA